RNAcentral lists this ribosomal RNA (1338 nucleotides) under Salmonella enterica subsp. arizonae. RNAcentral's name for it is "partial 23S ribosomal RNA". It matches the Rfam family "Bacterial large subunit ribosomal RNA", at positions 1577 to 2891 of the family's 2925-position model. Lineage: Bacteria; Pseudomonadati; Pseudomonadota; Gammaproteobacteria; Enterobacterales; Enterobacteriaceae. The record is from RNAcentral.
CUACGGUGCUGAAGCAACAAAUGCCCUGCUUCCAGGAAAAGCCUCUAAGCCUCAGGUAACAUCAGAUCGUACCCGAAACCGACACAGGUGGUCAGGUAGAGAAUACCAAGGCGCUUGAGAGAACCCGGGUGAAGGAACUAGGCAAAAUGGUGCCGUAACUUCGGGAGAAGGCACGCUGACACGUAGGUGAAGCGGUUUACCCGUGGAGCUGAAGUCAGUCGAAGAUACCAGCUGGCUGCAACUGUUUAUUAAAAACACAGCACUGUGCAAACACGAAAGUGGACGUAUACGGUGUGACGCCUGCCCGGUGCCGGAAGGUUAAUUGAUGGGGUCAGCGCAAGCGAAGCUCCUGAUCGAAGCCCCGGUAAACGGCGGCCGUAACUAUAACGGUCCUAAGGUAGCGAAAUUCCUUGUCGGGUAAGUUCCGACCUGCACGAAUGGCGUAAUGAUGGCCAGGCUGUCUCCACCCGGGACUCAGUGAAAUUGAACUCGCUGUGAAGAUGCAGUGUACCCGCGGCAAGACGGAAAGACCCCGUGAACCUUUACUAUAGCUUGACACUGAACACUGGUCCUUGAUGUGCAGGAUAGGUGGGAGGCUUUGAAGUGUGGACGCCAGUCUGCAUGGAGCCGUCCUUGAAAUACCACCCUUUAAUGGCUGGUGUUCUAACGUAGACCCGUGAACCGGGUUGCGGACAGUGUCUGGUGGGUAGUUUGACUGGGGCGGUCUCCUCCUAAAGCGUAACGGAGGAGCACGAAGGUUGGCUAAUCCUGGUCGGACAUCAGGAGGUUAGUGCAAUGGCAUAAGCCAGCUUGACUGCGAGCGUGACGGCGCGAGCAGGUGCGAAAGCAGGUCAUAGUGAUCCGGUGGUUCUGAAUGGAAGGGCCAUCGCUCAACGGAUAAAAGGUACUCCGGGGAUAACAGGCUGAUACCGCCCAAGAGUUCAUAUCGACGGCGGUGUUUGGCACCUCGAUGUCGGCUCAUCACAUCCUGGGGCUGAAGUAGGUCCCAAGGGUAUGGCUGUUCGCCAUUUAAAGUGGUACGCGAGCUGGGUUUAGAACGUCGUGAGACAGUUCGGUCCCUAUCUGCCGUGGGCGCUGGAGAACUGAGGGGGGCUGCUCCUAGUACGAGAGGACCGGAGUGGACGCAUCACUGGUGUUCGGGUUGUCAUGCCAAUGGCACUGCCCGGUAGCUAAAUGCGGAAGAGAUAAGUGCUGAAAGCAUCUAAGCACGAAACUUGCCCCGAGAUGAGUUCUCCCUGAGACUACGAGUCUCCUGAAGGAACGUUGAAGACGACGACGUUGAUAGGCCGGGUGUGUAAGCGCAGCGAUGCGUUGAGC